GAUGAACGCUGGCGGCGUGCUUAACACAUGCAAGUCGAACGAAGCACCUCUCCCGAAGAUUGACACAGCUUGCUGUAGAUUGAUUCAUUUGAGGUGACUGAGUGGCGGACGGGUGAGUAACGCGUGGGUAACCUGCCUCAUAGAGGGGGACAACAGUUGGAAACGACUGCUAAUACCGCAUAGUAAGAAGAAUUCGCAUGUUUUCUUCUUGAAAGAUUUAUCGCUAUGAGAUGGACCCGCGUCUGAUUAGCUAGUUGGUAAGGUAACGGCUUACCAAGGCGACGAUCAGUAGCCGGCUUGAGAGAGUGAACGGCCACAUUGGGACUGAGACACGGCCCAAACUCCUACGGGAGGCAGCAGUGGGGAAUAUUGCACAAUGGGGGAAACCCUGAUGCAGCGACGCCGCGUGAGUGAAGAAGUAUUUCGGUAUGUAAAGCUCUAUCAGCAGGGAAGAUAAUGACGGUACCUGAAGAAGAAGCCCCGGCUAACUACGUG
This 495-nucleotide ribosomal RNA is filed under the name uncultured bacterium. RNAcentral describes it as "partial 16S ribosomal RNA". It matches the Rfam family "Bacterial small subunit ribosomal RNA", at positions 28 to 507 of the family's 1533-position model. The record is from RNAcentral.